CCCCCGGGGUAUUGCCCUCAGUAGCGGCGAGUGAAGCGGCAAAAGCUCAAAUUUGAAAUCUGGCGUCUUUGGCGUCCGAGUUGUAAUUUGAAGAAGGUAUCUUUGGGCCCGGCUCUUGUCUAUGUUCCUUGGAACAGGACGUCACAGAGGGUGAGAAUCCCGUGCGAUGAGAUGACCCGGGUCUGUGUAAAGUUCCUUCGACGAGUCGAGUUGUUUGGGAAUGCAGCUCUAAGUGGGUGGUAAAUUCCAUCUAAAGCUAAAUAUUGGCGAGAGACCGAUAGCGAACAAGUACAGUGAUGGAAAGAUGAAAAGAACUUUGAAAAGAGAGUGAAAAAGUACGUGAAAUUGUUGAAAGGGAAGGGCUUGAGAUCAGACUUGGUAUUUUGCAUGUUGCUCUCUCGGGGGCGGCCGCUGCGGUUUACCGGGCCAGCAUCGGUUUGGAGCGGCAGGAUAAUGGCGGAGGAAUGUGGCACGGCUUCUGCUGUGUGUUAUAGCCUCUGACGAUACUGCCAGCCUAGACCGAGGACUGCGGUUUUUACCUAGGAUGUUGGCAUAAUGAUCUUAAGUCGCCCGUCUUGAACCACGGACCA
This 590-nucleotide ribosomal RNA is filed under the name Candida albicans. RNAcentral describes it as "eukaryotic LSU rRNA". It matches the Rfam family "Eukaryotic large subunit ribosomal RNA", at positions 65 to 668 of the family's 3401-position model. The record is from RNAcentral. Lineage: Eukaryota; Fungi; Ascomycota; Pichiomycetes; Serinales; Debaryomycetaceae.